RNAcentral lists this transfer RNA (65 nucleotides) under Meristogenys maryatiae. Its description in RNAcentral is "partial tRNA-Trp". The record is from RNAcentral. Lineage: Eukaryota; Metazoa; Chordata; Amphibia; Anura; Ranidae.
AGAAACUUAGGCUAAUUUAGACCAAAGGCCUUCAAAGCCUUAAGUGUGGGUAAACCCCUUCAGUU